UACGAAGGGUGCAAACGUUGCUCGGAAUUAUUGGGCGUAAAGCGCACGUAGGCGGCUUUGCAAGUCCCAUGUGAAAUCCCACGGCUCAACCGUGGAAGUGCAUGGGAAACUGCAGAGCUUGAGUACUUAAGAGGAUCGCGGAAUUCCCGGUGUAGGGGUGAAAUUCGUAGAUAUCGGGAGGAACACCAGUGGCGAAGGCGGCGAUCUGGGAAGAUACUGACGCUGAGGUGCGAAAGCGUGGGGAGCAAACAGG
Molecule: ribosomal RNA, 253 nt
Filed under: uncultured bacterium
Lineage: Bacteria
Description: partial 16S ribosomal RNA
Rfam family: Bacterial small subunit ribosomal RNA
Source: RNAcentral